Molecule: long non-coding RNA, 955 nt
Organism: Malaya genurostris
Lineage: Eukaryota; Metazoa; Arthropoda; Insecta; Diptera; Culicidae
Exons: 3
Source: RefSeq, a predicted model, not a curated record
AGUAUUUCGUAAUUUCCGACAUCCCUAGUCAUAAAAAGGCCAGCCUUAUCUUCAUGCAGGAUGUAUACACUGAGCAAAAUACCAUAGUAACCGUAAACUGUUUUCCAUUGUCAUUUCAACUAUACGCUUAAAUAGUAGCAACAACCAUGAUAUAUGACUAUUCACCAUCUGUAUUGUAUAAAUUACUAGACAACAAAGACUACGACUUGACUAAACUAUUUGUAUUUAUGACUUUUCUGGCAUGGUCAUCCUGACAAUGGUAGUCAUCUCAAAUAUAAGAACAGAUAGUUAAAAUCACAAUUUCUAGUAAGGUGAAAUUGCUCUCGAGCCUUGUAUAUAUGAGGAGCUAAAUAGUUAUCGCUACCAUGUAAAUAUGUCCACAGUUUAAUAAUGUUACCAUAAUUAGAUACAUGGUUCAAAAGACGAUUAUGAAGUUUGAAAACACUAUUCAUGUAGUCCAUAUCAACAGAAUUUAUGUAGUAAGCACAUUAUCGUAUAGUGUUUUUCAACCUACUAUGUAUUACAUUUGUGCUGACUAUACAAAUUGUCAAUGAACGGGUGUACUGUUAUUGUCACAUGAGGUUAAUCUAAUUUAGCAGAAAAUUUCGUACCUGUGUGAUGGAUUUGAACAAAAUAUUCUAUAUUGUGACUGUGUACUUUGGUAGGUCUUACAGUUUUUCCGGCAACUGUUAUGUUUUCCAGUGAAAUCAACAUCUCGUAUACGGUUUAUUAUUCAUUAUCGGUCGCUGUAGAAACAACAUCAAGCGAGUGAUGAAAAGGAAGAUUAUCAUUUGAUUCCCGGAUUCAAUUCGCUCGUAUCACAAGGAAAGUCGCAGGAAAAACUCCACCGGACAGAACCUUGAAUCAACUGAUGCUAUCAAGCAAUGCUAAGCAAUAUUCCACCAGGUAUAUUAUCAUUUGAUUUGAUGCGAAAAUAAAAUAGAGUUUAAUGAAA